This 265-nucleotide signal recognition particle RNA is filed under the name Candidatus Parepulonipiscium sp. PG-Nele67M_MBin01. RNAcentral describes it as "Epulopiscium sp. Nele67-Bin001 signal recognition particle sRNA large type". It matches the Rfam family "Bacterial large signal recognition particle RNA". Rfam says of the family: The signal recognition particle (SRP) is a universally conserved ribonucleoprotein involved in the co-translational targeting of proteins to membranes. The record is from RNAcentral. Lineage: Bacteria; Bacillati; Bacillota; Clostridia; Lachnospirales; Lachnospiraceae. RNAcentral also lists the same sequence under 1 other name.
CUGUGCUAGCCGGGGAGGUAGCGGUGCCCUGUACUUGCAACCCGCUGUAGCAAGGGUGAUGCUUCGGCUGAGGCAGCAUCUUGUGAGGCUCUGCCUCUAGAAAGUGGUGUUGACGAUUGGGUCUCACGCAAUAGGUCUUUAUGAACCGGGUCAGGUCUUGACGGAAGCAGCCCUAAGUAAAGUCGCUUAUGUGCCGUGAGGGUGCCUGGUCUGAGCUAACUACUAGAGUAACGCUUGUAAGGUGUUGUCGAAGCCAAGUGCACAG